Molecule: unclassified non-coding RNA, 408 nt
Filed under: Hevea brasiliensis (rubber tree)
Lineage: Eukaryota; Viridiplantae; Streptophyta; Magnoliopsida; Malpighiales; Euphorbiaceae
Source: RNAcentral
GCAUUUUCAAUUUUCAAACCAAAAAGCAAACAUGUUCACAGAGACUUCAAGAGUAACCAUCACAGGGCCAAAUCCUAAAGCAGUAACAGCAUAUUGCUAAUUUGUUAGGCCUGCAACAAUUCUGGAAAUAGUUCACAAAAACUCUCCCUUGGCCAUUGGGACAAUCCAGGGUCUGAUUAAUUGGACAAGGAGAACAUAUUCCUAGAGUUAUCAUCUGUUUGGCUUAAUUAAGAAAGAAAUGAUCAAUUCCACACGUUUAGAACAAUACCCCCAACAAUACACGACAAGGUACAGAUCUCCAUAAAAUAUUCUAGUCCAAAACGUAGCAAAAAGCCAAAAACAAACAGUAUCUCAAGAACACAGACAGAUCUUCAUGUUAUAACAUGAAAAUGGCUUUAAAUGAGUAAA